RNAcentral lists this unclassified non-coding RNA (221 nucleotides) under soil metagenome. Its description in RNAcentral is "partial contains 5.8S ribosomal RNA, internal transcribed spacer 2, and large subunit ribosomal RNA". The record is from RNAcentral.
AACGCACGAGACCUGCGGACCUGCGGAGGGAUCAUUAAUGAGUUGCAAAACUCCCUAAACCAUUGUGAACCUACCUGUACCGUUCCUUCGGCGGGCGGCGUCAAGCCCUAACCCGUCUCCCUUUACGGGGGAUGGACCCGCCGGAGGCUCCUAAACUCUUAACUUUUGUUGGCAUCUCUGAGUAAAUCAAAAUAAGUCAAAACUUUCAACAAUGGAUCUCU